This 87-nucleotide microRNA precursor is filed under the name Myotis davidii. RNAcentral describes it as "mir-9229 microRNA precursor family". It matches the Rfam family "mir-9229 microRNA precursor family". Lineage: Eukaryota; Metazoa; Chordata; Mammalia; Chiroptera; Vespertilionidae. The record is from Rfam by way of RNAcentral.
GAGACACCCUUAUGGGGCAGGACUUGCUUCAGUGGGGCUUUGGGGUGGCUUUGGUGCUCACUGAGUCUGCCUCUUCAGUGUGUCACU